Transfer RNA from Ovis aries (sheep), 73 nucleotides. It matches the Rfam family "tRNA". From Rfam's summary of the family: Transfer RNA (tRNA) molecules are approximately 80 nucleotides in length. The record is from Rfam. NCBI's taxonomy places the organism in Eukaryota, Metazoa, Chordata, Mammalia, Artiodactyla, Bovidae.
UCCCUGGUGGACCAGUGGCUAAGAUUCUGCACUUCCAGUGCAGGGGGCCUGGGUUCAAUCCCUGGUCAGGGAA